CGAGCGCCGGUGCACGCAGAGCAGCUUUGCCAGCCGCAUCAACACCACCAACCAUCGACGCAGUCCGCGCACGUCAGCACGCCGCGGUGCGUCUCUCUCGGAAAGAGGCCGCUUAGUAUUUCGGAUCUUCUCACGCACGCAGCACGGGAAACAGAAAGAAACGAGAGAGCCGCACCCACGCACCCCCCCCCUCCCUCCUCCUCCUCCUCCUCCUCUCCCCACAGCGACAAGGACAACGAGCCAACACGCCCAAGGCACCUUAGAAUCGUACGCGCUCUCUGUGUAGCAACACAGCUACAACUCCUUCUUGACACGUCUCACACACGCACACACGCACGCAGACGGAACGGAAAACGCAACUCUUCGCCCUCUUCGCUUCCUCCUCCUUCUCUCUGUGUGUGGGUGUUCCUCUCGUGGCCGCUGUUGGACGUGAGCCCCUUCACCUUUUUUAUACCCGUGCACCUUUGCGGUUGGCGGGCCACAUCGAGGAAAGGGCCUUGUAUGUCUUGGUGCGUGCGUGCUGCCUGCGUCACACGGUCGCAUGUAUCGGGCCUCAUCCUUCUCUUGCCCGAUUGUGUAGUGCAGCUCCUUUCACGGACCUUGCUUUGCGUGCAGUCGGUUCUGUGCGGGGGGCUAAGGCCGUAACUGUCUUUUAGUUGCUCUUCCCCACUGCUACCCCUUCCGUGGAGUGGUCUAGGUGCCUUCUACAGCCGCUUGCCCGCUAUUUUUCUUGCUGUGUCUCACUGCACGUGCCAGGGCCGCCGCCUUCGGACCUCUAACCCUCGCGCUAGGAGCUGUUUUACGUGUCCUUUUCGUUGCCCGCCGGUACCUGCUUUUGCCACAACGUCGCAAUGGAUCUGGCGGAGAAGCGGAAGCAGCUGGAGGCCCUUCGCGCCGCCCGGCAAGCGAAGCAGCAGGUAGUGGAGCAGUACAUCUCUGGCCGUUCCUCAAACCCGGGUGGCAGCCCAACGUCCUCGACGUCCUUGUCGAGGAGUACCCUUGCUUUGGCACCUCCUGCCAUUGCUUCUGCGGGCGACUCAGCGGCAGCGACAGGCACCUCGACUUCGCCAAGCUCGGCACUGCCACCGCCGCUUCGUAGCCGCAGCGGUGGGGGGCGGCUGUCUGUAUCGUCGACUCGCGGCACCGCUGCCACCGCCAAAGCCGCCGCCCCUUCUGCGGCCUCAUCGCCUGUCACGUCGGCCUCGCCGACCACCCCGACGGCGCAGAAGGCGCGCCCGACAACUCCGAGUAGGCAGUCCGCUCCCUCACAGGCGCAAGAUGCCGCCGCCGCCGAUGGGGGCGCCGCACCUCGAUCGAUUCACCUGGUGUCAUUCAACAAGGAGAGCACGGCGGCGCACGCUGCCGUGGCCGGCUUCUCUGCCGCUUCUCCAAACGCGCACCCUGUUGUCGGGUCGCUUUAUGGAUCAGCUCUGCCGCCGGUUACCUCAAGGGCCGCCGCCGCGCCUCCAACAGAGGAAGGACUGGCCGCUUAUGGGGGCUGGGGCUUCCUGCGAAAGUGUAUGCGUGUCUCAGCGCGGGAUGCCACCGGGGCUGCGGUGACGCAACCCGUCUGCAUCUUCAACCCUUCUGUGCUGCUCGGUGAUGUAGCCGGGUCAGUCGAGAGUAGCCGCCGACGCGUCAUCUUGGACUCCACCUCGUGCCUCGUGCCCUACGACGGCGCGGCUGCCGGCCAGCGACUCGGCGAUGCUGCCAUGAUGACCUCGCCUACGGUGUGGUCGGUGUGCGUGGCAGCGGCCUACGGAUCGUGCGACUCUCCCGCUGUAACGGUUGGCGGCAAUGGCGGUGAGCUUUCCGUGAACACGCGCUGCCAUGGUAACACCGACCUGGCAGGGCCGGACAAUCGCACGGGCGCCAGCGCGCUCGACCCGCUGUUCAUGCUCAGCCCCGGUGGCACCUCUGUCGGGAUGUCUCAGCAGCGCACCGGUGCGGCUGCCAGGCCGGCGACCGGUGCCGCUGCCGCUGCGGCUGCUGCGAGGGUGCGUGCCUCCAUGGAUUGCGGGUAUCCGUGGGGCUCCGCCUCCGCCGCACCGUCGGCUGUGCCGGGCACCACGACAGAGUCGGCUCUGAAGGUGGCGAAGGAGUCACCAGGACUUGUGCUGGCGUGGUUCCUCGUGCCUCUGCCUGCCAACACGAUGCCCCGAAAGGAGGGCUCCUUUGCCGGGGCUGCAGCGGCUCCUGGUGGUGGGUUCGUGGGCUGCGUCAGCGGCAACAUAACGACGACGCCUGAGCACGUUGUGAUUGUGCUCCCUCUCGUGUGCGACUCGGAGGUGACGACACUGCUCGCCCAUCCAUUGCAGCCGUCGACGCUGCUCGGUGGAACCCGGUGUGGCCGGAUCGUGCAGUGGUCGAUUGGGCAGGCAUGGGCACAGAUCGAACCGCGCCGGCUACUGGAGCGGGCGCUGGCGACGACGGGCACCACGACGACUCUGCUACUUCCGCCACAGCGACCGGCCCACUCAUCGUUUCCGUCGCCGCAGGCACAUCAAGCGCCGGUGUUGCGCAUGGCCGUUCACGGCGACGCCAGCUGCCACCACCUUUACUCCAUCAGCCAAGAGGGCAAGGUGUGCACGUGGACGGCGUCGCAGCCACUGCACCCAACGGCGUCCUGCCUGUCAUACCUCGGCAUUCGGCCGAUGGGCUGUAUCGGGGUGACGGCGCAGUUCGUGGAGCGGGCCGGCACGGACGCCAUGACAAAGGUUUUCAUUGGCACCACCUCGGGUGCGCUCCUCGUCGGCGCGAACAGGGACGCGAAGUCGAUCGAGCUCCAGUACUACGGCCCGCCACGCGCGCUGCCAACUUCAUCGACUGUUAUUAGGACACUCGACAUCACCGCCACGUCAGCCUACCCGAACGGUGCAGCAGCAGCCUCUACCGCUUCGUUCCGUGACGGCGCAGGGGCCACCGCGUCGACUUGUUUGACAGCCUCGCUCGAGCACCCCGCGGGCGCUGAGGCUUCUGCUGCUCCUGAGCAGAGCGGUCACCACCUCACCGCGAUGUCCUCGCCAUCACCAGCGGCUGCCGCGGUGGCGCGCCGUGUUCAGGCUGCGGCACUGCAGCCACACCGAGGUCGCAUCGUCUCGAUGGCUUUGCAAACGGCGACCCACGGCCUGCGGGGUCGUGACUGUAUCGUGUCGGCGGCGACGGACGGCAGCUGCGUCGCCUGGUUUGACCGCUCUGUCAUCCCUCUCGAAGGCUUCUCCUCGGCCGUAACGAGCGUCUGCUGGUCGCCGACGAAGCAUGGCGUUCUCGCUGCCGGUGACGCCAGUGGACUGGUUACCGUGUGGGCUGUGAACACGAGCAUCAUUACGCCUGUGGUGACCGUGUCGCUGCGUGAAGCGGGCCACCGCGCUUGCGGCAACGCGUCAUCAGACGGGGUGCUGUGGGUGGUGCCAGGGACGAGCGACGCAGCUGCUGGAGCUGGCGACGGCACCGCCGGUGGUGGUACCUUAGGCUUUGGGGGUGACGACGAUGAGGCCGAUGCUGUCGACGGAGAGGAGGUGGGUGCCUCGCUGGGUGAGGCUGACGUGGUCGGCUCCGCCAUCUCCUCUGUCUUCUUCUCUCGCGACGGGCAGUGGCUGUUCGCGAGUACGGCGAGAGGCUACGUGCACACACUGCACUUGGGCACUUCACUGGUGUAGUGCUGCUGAGAUGAGGAGGAGGGGAGGGGCAGGUGGCGAAAGGCGCACGGGGAGUGACGGAAACGCCCCCCUCUUCCCUCAGGCAUACGCACGCGCCCUCUUCAGCUGAUGUACAACACACAGCCUACAGAGGCCAAUGACGGUGUAGAGCCAGAAAGAACUACUGACCCAGGCAGAUGAUGGUAAAGUGCCCACCUCAUUGGAAAAAAUGCUGCUGCCGACAGGCUGCUGACACCCCGCCAACCCGUGGCUCUCCUUCUUGUGCUUCCGAAUCUCCGCGGGGUGGUGAGGCGAGAAUUCAGAGGUCGCUCGCACCCUGCUGGGCCUUGUACGAACUGGGCAAGUGGCCGCCGUUCAGAAAACGCGUCAUGCCGUCUCCUGACGACACAGGGGCAGGGCCGCGAUGUGUACGCUCUCAUGAUCCGAAAACUCACCCCCUCCUUGCCUGCAUGGCCUCUUGGGUUUAUCCUCUCGUCUGCUCGCACGGCAUGGCAGCUGCAAUGCACACACACGCCCCUCUCGCUCCCUGCACUCUCUCCUCCCCUCUCUUCCUGCAG
This 4216-nucleotide unclassified non-coding RNA is filed under the name Leishmania donovani. Its description in RNAcentral is "gene:LdHU3.14.1530(CDS-product:hypothetical_prote in_conserved)". Lineage: Eukaryota; Euglenozoa; Kinetoplastea; Trypanosomatida; Trypanosomatidae. The record is from RNAcentral.